Molecule: long non-coding RNA, 2535 nt
Organism: Amphiprion ocellaris (clown anemonefish)
Lineage: Eukaryota; Metazoa; Chordata; Actinopteri; Pomacentridae
Exons: 2
Source: RefSeq, a predicted model, not a curated record
GUGAAGUUCAGGUACAAAUUGCUCUUUAUUAUUUGAUUACAUGGUUAACUGUGCUGUUUUGUCGGCAGCUGAACACAGAGAGAUAUACAAGGAGUGUAAAUUGGAGGGGGGAAUCAGUUCAUGUAGAAAACAAAGCAAAAUUUCUAAUAACUUCCAGUAUAAGGUGCACCCUUCUGUUUCCCUUGUGUACUGUUGCAGCUCUAAUGCAGAUGUGAAUAUAUGAUGUCGCUUUUUGUUACACCUCCAGUAAUUGCACAGCACAUUGCAAGCUGCCUGAUUAAACCACAUUAUCUUAUGUGCUUAGCUGAGCAAAUCCACAGUUGUUGUGGGAGGAGUAUGGCAGGUUUAUUCCACCUGGUUGUAUCUACUGCUGCAGGAUGAAGCACUGCUGACCUUCCCUGUGAGUUCUACAUUUUUUGUUGAAACUCACUGACAAGCAACACAAUCCUUGCCUUACUGAGUGGAUGAUGAACUACCUCCAUGGGAGACCACUAGCUAAAGAUCCUGAAUUCCAGGUCAGGGAAGCUUUUGAACAGCACUGGAUACCUCGUGUAAUUGAUCCCUAAAGCUCCUUCAUACGUCUCUAUACCAUGGAUUUCCAACAAAGCACCAUGAGAAAACCACAAUCCAACAAAGCAACUUCCAGCAACACUUCUUUUAAAGGAGGAAUAGAGAAGCAUUCAUGACACCCAACAUAACCAGUCAUAAAGACAUGUUCCACCUGGUGAUGAAGGGUUAUUAUGUUGCUUUGUCAACAUUUUAUCACAUCCAUGGUUUUUCGAUCGGGUUUAGUAAAAAAAAAAAUCAUGACAUUUUCAUUAAAAUACAAAGUUAUUGAGUGUUUUAAUACACAGCAAGUUUUUCCUUGCUUCAAUAGUGUCUCACUGUUUCUGUCCGUCUGCAGUUGUUGCCUUCUAAUUUUACCACACACCCCUGCUUGCGCAACUUAUUGAUGAAUAUAUUUAUGCUCAGCAUCCGUCUGCUGUUGCCUCCCGCUGCCAGUUUAGUCUGUUAGUCAGCCUGAUUUCUCUCAACAACACAACAUGUUUGAGCUGAUUUCUGGUUUGUAACUGCAUGAGCUUUGUCAUCGUCAUCAUCCCUUGAAGACUGACUGCGCUUUAAGUUUGUCUCCUGACUCAAGCACCAUAUUUACACUACAGACAUGAGAGUAAUUUUGAUUUUCUUGUCUAACUCUGUAAUGCGUUUUCCUUUAAAUGUGUGCCCUUUUGGGGUAUGUUUGGCAUGCAUUCUACAUGACUGUGUGCUUGUCUGAGUUUUUGUUAAAGUCUGUGUGCAGCUGUGUGUCGGUGUAUCCGUUGUUUCAACACUGAGUCUGCACGUCAGGCAGCCCACAGAGUUUUGUCAAUAUCACUGGCUGGACUCCCCAACAACAGGCCCAAUCCUCUCAGCUUAUCUGCUGCCUCCACACGCACAAACACACACACACACACACACACACACACACACACACACACACACACACAGCUGUAUUGUCUGUAAUGAUACACCAGCUCUAUCUCCAUGAUGAACCUUAAUGCACCCUGACAUCUGCACCAGGCUUGAACAACCUAGUUAUUAAUGCAAGACACUAUGGGUUGUCUGCAGCAGCUCGUUGCAGCAGUGGAUUUCUGUUUCUAUUGUCGCUUUAGCUGUUCUGGUUCUCCUCAGCCCACCCACUGUAUAUCUUGUAAUGUGGCUCAUAUUGUUUUGAUGCUUGCUCUCUUCACCAGAUUUAAGUGAAGGUGUGAGAACUGAGUGUGAACAUGAAUAGCAGAGGUGUGAAUAAUGGAAGUUUCAGUAUGUGUGAGAUUGUUUGUGCUAAUUUCGGUGUGAAGAUAGUUUUUGUCGCACUGGUUGUGUUUCGUACUGUGACAGACAGAAAUUAGGGGGCAUUAGAGGGCGCCCGAAAGCUUAAUUCAGAACCAAGAAACUCCACAAAUUUAAAUUUGACAUUUUGAAUGAGCAACUGAAUUUCUUAAUAACAUUAAUAUUUCUGGAAAUGAAGUUAAACAGUAUGAAAUGCAAGGUCUCAUGUUUUGCGGUUGUUACAAACUUGGAGUUGUAAAGUAAAAGGUGUUAAGAUAUGAAGACAUUUACUUCUGCCAUUUUACCUCAAACCUCCCCACAGCUAGAUAGCCUCCCUGCUUUACAAGUUACUGCUUUUGAGUUACUAAAAGUCACCAAGCUCAAACAAUCAGAAGUCCAUCAGGUUUUUUACUUUCUACAGCUGCUUCUGCUAACUCUAAAAUGUCUCACCCACAAUCGAAGGGCACCAAAUGUUCUGCUGUUGGCUGCAAGAGUGAACACAUGAAUCUCCAUGCACUGCCGACAUUUAAGGAUCUGAAAACCCAAUGAAUAUUUUCAUUUUUGGUGGCAGUGUCUCCACAACAAGAAGAAAAUUCUCAGUGCUUUACGCCUAAUGUGGCUAACAAUAGAAUUUGCUUUGAUUUUUUUCCCCCCAUGUCAGAGCUCUAUGGAAACAGUAAAGCAGAGGGACAUUCUGAGAUUGAAGCUAAUAAACAAGGACUGGGCUGA